RNAcentral lists this ribosomal RNA (237 nucleotides) under Escherichia coli. RNAcentral describes it as "partial 16S ribosomal RNA". It matches the Rfam family "Bacterial small subunit ribosomal RNA", at positions 92 to 332 of the family's 1533-position model. Lineage: Bacteria; Pseudomonadati; Pseudomonadota; Gammaproteobacteria; Enterobacterales; Enterobacteriaceae. The record is from RNAcentral.
CGAGUGGCGGACGGGUGAGUAAUGUCUGGGAAACUGCCUGAUGGAGGGGGAUAACUACUGGAAACGGUAGCUAAUACCGCAUAACGUCGCAAGACCAAAGAGGGGGACCUUCGGGCCUCUUGCCAUCGGAUGUGCCCAGAUGGGAUUAGCUUGUUGGUGGGGUAACGGCUCACCAAGGCGACGAUCCCUAGCUGGUCUGAGAGGAUGACCAGCCACACUGGAACUGAGACACGGUCC